Long non-coding RNA from Ostrinia nubilalis (European corn borer), 559 nucleotides. RefSeq lists it as uncharacterized. Lineage: Eukaryota; Metazoa; Arthropoda; Insecta; Lepidoptera; Crambidae. The record is from RefSeq and is a predicted model, not a curated record. The transcript has 4 exons.
CAGGUUGUUCCAGCGUCGGGAGUUUGACAGCGUAACGGAAUGAAUCUUCACUGCGGUCCCAGUUUCAGGGUCAUCUCUCCAGAGUACCCGUUGAUAAUCCACAUCUGAUUCCGAGAUCUUCACUUGCCGAUACAUUUUGGCUAUGUCAGACGUGAGACAAACGGGGAGGCAUCGUACACUACCCGUACCUUCGUCGUUUCCCUGUCUUCUCGUAUGACUGCGUGAUGGGAUAUCUCCCUGGAGUUGUCUACACAAGGAGGAUCAUUCUUCAAGGGAAGUCGAACUACAUAUCUCCCUUCCUCGUCUCUUGAAGUUGUCUUUGUGAAUAUCUCCUCACAUCUUUUUUCUUCCUCUGUAAACAUUUUCUCUCUUUUUAUUUCAGGUUCCGCUUCCUGUUCCCAGAACUUCUUAAGGAGAUCAUUUUCAUCGAUCAGUGAAUGCAUUACUACUAUACUCUUUGGCUUCUGCUGUGAAUCCAUAACCGUGCCCGAAAUGAUCCAGCCUAAAGCUGUAGAUUGUGCAAUCACUCCACCCUGGAUACCUUUCCUUAAUCCUUCUU